Molecule: small nuclear RNA, 162 nt
Organism: Cricetulus griseus (Chinese hamster)
Lineage: Eukaryota; Metazoa; Chordata; Mammalia; Rodentia; Cricetidae
Gene: U1
Rfam family: U1 spliceosomal RNA
About the family: U1 is a small nuclear RNA (snRNA) component of the spliceosome (involved in pre-mRNA splicing). Its 5' end forms complementary base pairs with the 5' splice junction, thus defining the 5' donor site of an intron. There are significant differences in sequence and secondary structure between metazoan and yeast U1 snRNAs, the latter being much longer (568 nucleotides as compared to 164 nucleotides in human).
Source: Ensembl
CUAAUUUUUACAGAUGGCUAAAAUUCACAGAAGGUUGUUUUCCCAGGGUGAGGCUCAUCCAUGGAACUCUAGGUUUGCUGACCCCUGUGAGUUCCCCAAAUGUAGGAAUCUCCACUGUGUAAUCUGUGUGGUAGUAGAGGACUGCUUUCAUGUUCUCCUCUU